AUGCAAAAAGCUCCUAUCACUCUGCUGCUGUGUGAACUACCCAGUGUGAGUACCCAGAAGCAUCGCUGCACAUUUAGUGUAAAGAGCAAUCAAUCAGUUUGGAGACGCAAGCCAGAGGAAACAAUUCAGCAAAAAAGACCUACAGCAGAUAUGUCACUUAACUCCACCUCCAACAAUUUUCUGGACUAUUUCUGUUCCACAAAUGCAAAUUCAUCCCAAAUGGUUCCCUUCUAUACAGUGAGAAUCAUCCUCCUCCUCACUCUCUCUGUCCUCAUCUUUUAUAUUGGUCACCAAAGAUGGCAGCAGCAGCGCUCCUUUAAAACAGCAAGCCACUCUGACAUCUUCACCUACCACAUGGCUGCUAUGGAGCUGAUCUGGGUCUUAGCAUGUUUGGUCAUGUUUUGUGGUGCAUACACUAAUCAUUUAGUAAGUGAGACUGUAGGAUCAUAUGCCUGUAGCAUUGCUUAUUAUGGAGAAAUACUUUUCCACCUCCUGACCUGUGUAGAGCGUUAUAUGGCUGUUGUUCACCCCAUCACCUACAUGGGUCUAAGAAAUGCCCGUGGGGUCAGGAUCAGAAACAUCAGCAUUGGCUGUGUUUGGCUGCUGAGCUUUGGACUGUCGGGUGUUAAAGUUUUAUUACCCUCUAACUACAAAAGUGCCCCAUUGUUCUGCAUUUUGGCUCUCUCCAUAAUAAUCAUAACUUUGUGCAGCCUCUCUGUUCUGUGUGUGUUGAUUCGCCCAGGGCCAGGGGAAGGAGGUGGGGAAAAGGAGAUGGUUGACCAAUCAAAGCUGAAAGCUUUCUACACCAUCAUGGCUAUAACCUGUGCUGUGUGGCUAUGGGUUGUUGGGGUGCUUUUAUUUAAUGCUCUCAACAUCUCACGUCUAGUGAGCAGCACUGCUCUGUGCUCAGCAUUGAUGUACAUGAUCUGGUUUAACUUUCCAAAUUGUUUGGUGUUACCUCUGCUGUUUCUGCAUAGAGCAGGAACACUCUCAUGUUCCUGUUGUAUCAACAAAUGAAUACAAGAAUUGAAUUUGAGUACAACAGAGAUGUAACAGAUGUAAAUGAUUUAUAUAAUAUGCUAAAAUAUUUGGAAAUGUUUCAGUUUUAUUACUACCAUAAGACAGGGCUAAGUCAAGACUCGAACCACACUUAAGAUCCAGAAGUAGACGAUAAGUCUAAACUGGUGGUUUCCUUUUGUAAACUUAUCUGACAAAACAUUGUUGCUGAACAGUCACAGGAUUUAAUUAAACCCUAUGACUUGUUCCUUUGUUUUGUUAUUGAGUUAUUCAACGUCAGAGUUUAUAGAAGUUUUACAAAUUGUAUACAGAGUAUCACCAUUGAUUUUGGAAAUAAAGGAGGCUGUUUGGCUUUAUUUAGAGACAUCAUAGUCUUAAAAUAAAGCCUACAGCUGAUGCUGUCCUAUUAACAGAAAAAUGAAAAACACCAAAUGGAUCAUACAUGAUCAUAAAAUUUGUAUGUUUCCUUUUCUAAAAGACACACAGAACACAAAAAGCUGUUCUGCAUUUGUCCACACUAAUUACGUUUGAUGUAGCAGUGCUACUUUCAAUGUUUUUUUUUAAUCCAACAUCUGAGAGUUAUGGACGACUGAAAAGUGCAGCAGAGUAACCUCCAUGUGAAACAGAGUCUUGGAGAAGACAAACCUAAAUUUUGAAGCUCCAUUUCAUCAGCUGCUCACAAAAGAAAGAGAUUAUAAGAUACAUGUUGGGUCCAUCACUUGUUAUUUUACUAGAUGUGAAAUCAUAGACAUCCUCAGCUCUUAUAGUUAUCUCAACCUUUGACAAAGGUUGUGGAUUGAAGUGAAAUGUUA
Molecule: long non-coding RNA, 1829 nt
Filed under: Oreochromis niloticus (Nile tilapia)
Lineage: Eukaryota; Metazoa; Chordata; Actinopteri; Cichliformes; Cichlidae
Description: lncRNA (ENSONIG00000038494.1)
Source: RNAcentral